GGUUUGAUCAUGGCUCAGAUUGAACGCUGGCGGGAUGUUUACACAUGCAAGUCGAACGGCAGCACGGACUUCGGUCUGGUGGCGAGUAUGAACGGGUGAGUAAUGUAUCGGAACGUACUAGUAGCGGGGGAUAACUACGCGAAAGCGUAGCUACCGCAUACGCCCUUCGGGGGAAAGCGGGGGGACCUCUUCGGGCCUCGCACUAUUAGAGCGGCCGAUAUCGGAUUAGCUUAGUUGCGGGGUAACGGCUCACCAAGGCGACGAUCCGUAGCCGGUUUGAGAGGACGACCAGCCACACUGGGACUGGAGACACGGCCCAGACCUCUACGGGAGGCAGCAGUGGGGAAUUUUGGACAAUGGGGAAACCCCGAUCCAGCCAUCCCGCGUGUGCGAUGAAGGCCUUCGGGUUGUAAAGCACUUUGGCAGGAAAGAAAACGGCACGGGAUAAUACCCCGUGCAACUGACGGUACCCGCAGAAUAAGCACCGGCUAACUACGUGCCAGCAGCCGCGGUAAUACGUAGGGUAAGCGUUAAUCGGAAUUACUGGGCGUAAGCGUGCGCAGGCGGUUCGGAAAAGAAAGAUGUGAAAUCCCAGAGCUUAACUUUGGAACUGCAUUUUUAACUACCGGUUUAGAGUGUGUCAGAGGGAGGUGGAAUUCCGCGUAGCAGUGAAAUGCGUAGAUAUGCGGAGGAACACCGAUGGCGAAGGCAGCUCCUGGGAUAACACUGACGCUCACAGUGCACGAAAGCGUGGGGAGCAAACAGAUUAGAUACCCUGGUAAACCACGCCCUAAACGAUGUCAACUAGCUGUUGGGGCCUUCUGGGCCUUUGCGGGCGCAGCUAACGCGUGAAGUUGACCGCCUGGGGAGUACGGUCGCAAGAUUAAAACUCAAAGGAAUUGACGGGGACUCCGCACAAGCGGUGGAUGAUGUGGAUUAAUUCGAUGCAACGCGAAAACCUUACCUACCCUUGACAUGUCUGGAAUCCUGAAGAGAUUUGGGAGUGCUCGCAAGAGAACCGGAACACAGGUGCCGCAUGGCUGUCGUCAGCUCGUGUCGUGAGAUGUUGGGUUAAGUCCCGCAACGAGCGCAACCCUUGUCAUUAGUUGCUACGAAAGGGCACUCUAAUGAGACUGCCGGUGACAAAACCGGAGGAAGGUGGGGAUGACGUCAAGUCCUCAUGGCCCUUAUGGUAGGGCUUCACACGUCAUACAAUGGUCGGGACAGAGGGUCGCCAACCCGCGAGGGGAGCCAAUCCCAGAAACCCGAUCGUAGUCCGGAUCGCAGUCUGCAACUCGACUGCGUGAAGCCUUAACCGCUAGUAAUCGCGGAUCAGCAUGUGUGUCGCGGUGAACACGUUCCCGGUCUUGUACACACCGCCCGUCACACCAUGGGAGUGGGUUUUACCAGAAGUAGUUAGCCUAACCGUAAGGAGGGCGAUUACCACGGUAGGAUUCAUGACUGGGGUGAACAAGGUAG
RNAcentral lists this ribosomal RNA (1479 nucleotides) under uncultured Bordetella sp. RNAcentral describes it as "partial 16S-23S ribosomal RNA intergenic spacer". It matches the Rfam family "Bacterial small subunit ribosomal RNA". Lineage: Bacteria; Pseudomonadati; Pseudomonadota; Betaproteobacteria; Burkholderiales; Alcaligenaceae. The record is from RNAcentral.